UACGUAGGGUGCGAGCGUUAAUCGGAAUUACUGGGCGUAAAGCGUGCGCAGGCGGCGCCAUAAGACAGAUGUGAAAUCCCCGGGCUCAACCUGGGAACUGCGUUUGUGACUGUGGUGCUCGAGUGCGGCAGAGGGGGGUGGAAUUCCACGUGUAGCAGUGAAAUGCGUAGAGAUGUGGAGGAACACCGAUGGCGAAGGCAGCCCCCUGGGCCAAUACUGACGCUCAUGCACGAAAGCGUGGGGAGCAAACAGG
This 253-nucleotide ribosomal RNA is filed under the name uncultured Methyloversatilis sp. Its description in RNAcentral is "partial 16S ribosomal RNA". It matches the Rfam family "Bacterial small subunit ribosomal RNA", at positions 524 to 776 of the family's 1533-position model. The record is from RNAcentral. Lineage: Bacteria; Pseudomonadati; Pseudomonadota; Betaproteobacteria; Nitrosomonadales; Sterolibacteriaceae.